RNAcentral lists this ribosomal RNA (267 nucleotides) under uncultured bacterium. Its description in RNAcentral is "partial 16S ribosomal RNA". It matches the Rfam family "Bacterial small subunit ribosomal RNA", at positions 28 to 297 of the family's 1533-position model. The record is from RNAcentral.
GAUCAACGCUGGCGGCGUGCCUAACACAUGCAAGUCGAACGCCCUUUCGCUUCGGCGAAAGAGGGAGUGGCGGACGGGUGAGCAACACGUGGGUGAUCUGCCUGCAGGGUGAGGAAUACCGGCGAGAAAUCGCUGACAAGUCCGCAUAGGGAUUGGCGAACAAUCAAAGCUUCUCUUCAUGAGAGGUGCCUACAGAGGAGCCCGCGUCCGAUUAGUUGGNGGUGGGGUAAUGGCCUACCAAGACGACGAUCGGUAGCUGGUCUGAGA